This 1735-nucleotide long non-coding RNA is filed under the name Lactuca sativa (garden lettuce). RNAcentral's name for it is "long non-coding RNA (LSAT_LNC006897)". The record is from RNAcentral. Lineage: Eukaryota; Viridiplantae; Streptophyta; Magnoliopsida; Asterales; Asteraceae.
GGGUCGUAAGGUCUCACCCUUGAAGCAUGGGUUUGAUUCUUUCGGAGUUGGUUCAUUUUUGUGAAGCUUCGUGCAAGCAUCCGUACCAUGACUUCUCUUUUGAGCCAAAUCAAACCAAUGGGAUUGUUUUGCUAUAUUUUAAACUGAAGGGACUAUUUUUGUAACGAUUUAAUUCAAGAGGGAUUAUUUUGUAAUUUCAAACAAGUGGAGGUGCUGGUUUGUAAUUUCAUGAACAAAUUGGGAUUGUUUUGGUUAAUAAAUACCAGGGAAGGGGUUGUUUGUGGAUAAAUGGAAUCACUUUUUGGGAAUUGGGACCUAUUUUGAAUAAAGAAUUUAACAAUGGGGGCAUUUUAGUCAUUUCAUAAUUAAAAUGACUUUGGGUUUUAAGUCCCAUGUUUAAUGGUCCACUUAAAAAAAGAAUUUGGGGAUUGGGACCUAUUUUGAAUAAACAAUUUAACAAUGGGGGCAUUUUAGUCAUUUCAUAAUUAAAAUGACUUUGGGUUUUAAGUCCCGUGUUUAAUGGUCCACUUAAAAAAAGAAUUUGGGGAUUGGGACCUAUUUUGAAUAAACAAUUUAACAAUGGGGGCAUUUUAGUCAUUUCAUAAUUAAAAUGACUUAGGGUUUUAAGUCCCGUGUUUACGUUUGAUUGAGCAAAUAGGAAGAACGACAACAGACAAACGAAGAGAGGAAAACGAAAGCUCGUAAGCGGCAAAUCCGGAGGUCUUGGGUCGAUGGAUCGUAAAGGGAGUGUCUCCGAGGGUUAAACGAGGCCGAAGGGGAAAAUGGUUGAAGCAGUGAGGCUUCCCUCUUCUCGUUCGGCUGCGGGGAGCGAAUUCCGGGUUUCGCAAGCAGCAAUAGCUUCGAAGCAAGCGAGGUUUCCGGAGGUUUUGCUGGACCGGAGAAGGGGAUAUGUGCGAGAGGUUCAAUCAGUGGGAAGGAGGGGUUGCGAUGGGGCAAAGAAAUCAGCGACGGCAGGGGUGGUUUGGACCUGCCUUGAAAUCGACGAAGGGAAGAGGUCAGAAGAGGGGUCCGAUAAGAGAUAUGCACUCGCAAUCGAUUGAGCUGCUGAGAGGGAAGGGGAAGUGCGAGAGGCGGUGACAGGUGCGUGAAUGAGGGCUGCUCCGGCAGCGCCCCUGAUCUUCUUCUUUCUCUCUUCUUCUUUUUUUUUUUUUUUUUUUUUUUAUAUGUUUUNGUGUUCAUCUUGAACAGGUGGAGAAAGGGGGUUGACUGGAACAUAUGGCGAACAGGGGGGUGUUUGCCUCGUGGUCUUCGAUGGAAGGACGGGUGUUUUGCUGAAACGGGGACUGAAAAAGAAGGCAAACACGAAGAGUUCCUUUUUUUUUUCUUUUUUUUUCUGAAUCUGAUCAAUUUUUAUGCUCAAGAGUUUAAUUGUUGUUUGAUUGCUUGUGAAUCAGUUAUAUACCACACAGUAUUUUCCUCAUACCUGUGUGUGAGCUGUAAUACAGGCGAAAAAUGUGGGAAGAAAAGAAAAUAGUGGAGUGCAAGAAUUCAUUUCCUUUUUGAGUGUUUCUUUGUAUAAAAUGAACUUGGAAGAAACUAUUACCUUGGCUGUCGAAUUUUACUUCAUAAUUGAUGUGAUUAUUUGACUUUAUAUGUUAUGUGUUUAAUUUGUGCGUUGAUUUGUACAUUUGAUUCAAUGGGUAUGUAUUUGGUUGAUGUAGGGUAUUUAUUGAGGAUAAUGACUUGAAAGGGUAACGAACUUUCGACUUUUGUC